AGCGGAAACUGUGUACACUGGUACAUCUGUUUUGUAAACAGUCUGACAUUAAUAUUAAGUGAUCUUCCUCACACCAAAGACAAGACUAAAGUUAUUUUGUUGACGCCUCGGGAAAUCUUUCUUAAAACCGCAUGACGAAUCUAACUUUAUCAAUUGUCAGGCUGAACACUCUGUAACGACGUGUAAAUAAGACUGCACUAUUGUUUAUGAGCGCAUAUACAAUAUGUUACAUAUCGAGGGGAAACAUGAGUUAAAAGAGCGCCCCUUAUAAAUAUUUACCGUGGUAACCAUAGUUUCUACCGACAUACCAUAAUUACUGCAGUUACUGUUACUACAAUAAAACUGAGGUAACUUGGUAUUUGGUGACAGUGCCAUCAAUAAAAUAAAUCAAGCUUCUUGAACUGUUCAAAAGAUAAUUUGUAAUGAUUAAUUAUGGUUUUGCAGCAGUAACUAGGGUAUUUUGGCGGAAACUAGGGUUACCAUGGUAAAUGUUUUUGCAAAGGAUUUCCUGUUGUUGUGAGGAUCUGCCAUUAGAUUGAAUCUAGACGGGACUCAAGCUCGUGCCACGUUACGCUACGGUGCGUUAGCCUCAAAUGUGUUCCCUGUCAUUUCUCGGUAAAGUGCUGUCCUUCCAUGGAUUCACUCAAGUAUUUGAGCUGAAGUAAAAUAAUCGCAAGGAACACAGUUGUCGGUAUCUGUAGUAGAUCUGCAGGGUCUAAAUCUCAGAAAGAGAGGAAUAGUGCUAUUUUAGUCCAAUACAGCGUAACUGCAUUAUGCAGAGUGGAGCCUUUUUUCUCGCUCGCAAAUAAAAUAAUGGGAGAGAAAUGAGAAGGAAAACAAAAGCGCAGCGAAUUCUUGACUACGAGAAUGAAGAGGAUGAGGAAGAGGAACAAAAACCGGACUGCUUCAGUAACGGUGCACAGAAACGAAGAAAAAUGUAUUCCUCCAAAGAGAAAGCAGAAGAAAAUAGCUCAUCCGAAGCCGGGCUUCAGAAGUUAGACAUCAAGGUUAAUGAGCUGGAUUGUUCUUCCGCAGACCUCUACACUGACAGUCCUCCUGCUUCUGAGUCUGAGGAGGCUCAUUAUUUACAGUCCUAUUCGAAGAAGGAGCUCAUUGCCAUGGUCUUAUGUAUGCAGAGGGAAAUGGAGGACUUGAAGGAACAACUUAGGUGCCUUACAGCAUGUGGAAAGCUAGCAAGAAACCUGGAAAUGCUGAUCGAGAAGACCCAGAUGUGGUCAAAUGGGAACAAUGGGACCUCUCCCGGGACCCCAGAUUCUCAAGGCACGGUGCAGGCACCUGCAGAGGCAGAUGCUUUGAAACCAGUUGUGCAUUCUCCUCCGGCCAUUGUGAAUGGGCAAUGGCUGAAUCAGGGUGCAGGACCACAGAAACCUCACGAGGCCACUCAGAAUGCUCAAAGGGACGGGCUCUUCACAGAGUUUAUCACUCCUGAACUUUUGGAGAGGUGUAACACAGGCACCACUGCCCAAAAACUGACCAACGACCUGCUCCGUGGACUCUACGAGAGGGAAUGCCUGGCUUCCCACUCUAUAUCUGGAGUCGUGUACAACAAGAGAGGCCAACCAAAGCCUGCUCUCCCCACCGAAGAGGUCCAGGCAAUCCUGAGAACCGUUCAGUAUUUCUUUCCUGGCAAGACUGACGCAGAGAUCAAGGGCUACAUCCGACAGAAACUGCAAAACGAAGCCAAGAGGCUGAGGAAGAAACCGUCUCUCUCAGGCCAAUAUGAGUCUAGAGGUUUCAAUGUACCUUUAGAUAUGAUCGACCAGAAUUGA
Cyprinus carpio (common carp) is the source of this 1790-nucleotide long non-coding RNA. Lineage: Eukaryota; Metazoa; Chordata; Actinopteri; Cypriniformes; Cyprinidae. The record is from Ensembl.